RNAcentral lists this ribosomal RNA (253 nucleotides) under uncultured bacterium. RNAcentral describes it as "partial 16S ribosomal RNA". It matches the Rfam family "Bacterial small subunit ribosomal RNA", at positions 524 to 776 of the family's 1533-position model. The record is from RNAcentral.
UACGUAGGGGGCUAGCGUUGUCCGGAAUCAUUGGGCGUAAAGCGCGCGUAGGCGGCCCGGUAAGUCCGCUGUAAAAGUCAAAGGCUCAACCUUUGAAAGCCGGUGGAUACUGCCGGGCUAGAGUCCGGAAGAGGCGAGUGGAAUUCCUGGUGUAGCGGUGAAAUGCGCAGAUAUCAGGAAGAACACCUAUGGCGAAAGCAGCUCUCUGGGACGGUACUGACGCUGAGACGCGAAAGCGUGGGGAGCGAACAGG